Molecule: non-coding RNA, 30 nt
Filed under: Mus musculus (house mouse)
Lineage: Eukaryota; Metazoa; Chordata; Mammalia; Rodentia; Muridae
Source: RNAcentral
UAAGUGGUUCAGUGAUGCCAGAUGGAGGUC